Molecule: long non-coding RNA, 3859 nt
Organism: Rattus norvegicus (Norway rat)
Lineage: Eukaryota; Metazoa; Chordata; Mammalia; Rodentia; Muridae
Source: RefSeq, a predicted model, not a curated record
GUUAGCACCACAAGGAGCCCAUCCUAAGGAGCACAGAAGACACAGAAGGGACGGGGCUCAUCCCAGCUCUGUGACCAUAGGACCAUGAGAGGCUCAAGAACACUGUCUGUCUGUCAUCUAUCUAUCUAUCUAUCUAUCUAUCUAUCUAUCUAUCUAUCUAUCUAUCUAUCUAUCUAUCUAUCUAUCUGAGACAGGGCCUCUCUCCAUAUCUCUGACUGUCCUGGAACUUACUCUGCAGAGCAGGCUGACCUUGAACUCACAGAGAUGCCUGUGCUUCUAGAGUGCUGGAACUAAAAGAGUGCACCACAACACCUAGCUCUUCUUUUUCCUAACAACCAAUCAUAUUAUUUUAGCACCUUAAACUUUUUAAAGUAUUUUUAUACAAAAUUUAAAUACAUUGUGUAUUUAAAUACAUUACUCUUGAUGCCAUUUCUGAGUGAGUAGUCGAGCAGCGCUGCCCCUUGAUGGGUAUAUAAAGCGCAGGCUCAGAAGAUGACGUCACCAUGAGGCCCAGGGACACGGGCACAUUGUGGUCUCCAGCCAGGCGGGAGCUCAGGUUUCCUGACUGGAGCCUGGAACCAGCUCUCCCACUGUUCCCUCCCUGAAGUCACCAGCUGUCCUCAUGAGAUUCAAAACCUUCUGAGCAGUAGAGGCUGUCGGAGACAGUCGCUAUUGCCCGCAUUUGGAGAGACAGUAUUUGCGGAACUGGAGAUGCUGGGGAGAGUGGUGGCCUGAGUCUCACUGUGAAGCCCCGACUGGCCUGGAACUCACUAUGCUGACCAGGCUGAUCUUGAACUCGUAGAGAUCUACUUGUCUUCAACCCUUAAAUUCCAGGAUUAUAGGCAUGCACCGCCGUGCCUCAGUAGAUUCAGUCUCCUUGGCUCGGAGUUUGACAAGCAGACUAGAUUGGCUGUCCAUAGAGCCUCAGAUAUCUACCUGUCUGCCUCCCCGGCACUGGGAUUUCAAAUGUACAACAGCACUCUCUUGCUCCUGCUGUGCUGUCCCCUUGCCCUGCUCUCCCUCUCUCCCCAUUGCCCUCCCUCUUCUCUCUCCAAGUGCUCAGGGCCAGCCUCUACUCUCUACUUCUCUACUCUCUCUCUCUUUCUCUCUCUCUCUCUGUCCUUACUACCCUCUCAACUCCCCUCCAUGCCCUGAAUUAAAAAAGAAAAAACACAAUACCAUACCUAGCUUUUGGACAUGGGUUCUGGGCCUUGAACGUAGGUCCUUGAACUUUCGGGCAUACACUUUAUCAACAGCUGAGCUAUCUCCCCAGCCCUAUUUAUAGAAACAACCAAAGUGUUUGUUCUUUCUGUCAUGUUAGGAUGCAACAAGACACUACAACCUGUGAAGUAGGUCAUCACCAAACACAGCAUCUACGGCGCUUUGACCUCAGGAUUCCCAGGCUCCAGACUUAGCUGUAAACAACAGACAUUUGUUGUUUAGGAGCCAUGGAGGCUAUGGGGUUUUGUGGAACAGCCUGAACUGACCAAAAAACACCCCGCUAAUUUGUUCCAUGUUCACAAGAUAGAUAGAUAGAUAGAUAGAUAGAUAGAUAGAUAGAUAGAUAGAUCAUGUACCUUUCUAGAUGUAUAUUUUAUUCAAGCCAAUUCCUGGGGGUUGCCAAUAUUCAAUCAAAUCACGGUCAUGUACUUUAGUCCUGAUAUUGUUUCAUAACAAAAAAUACAAAUCGCACCAUUGAGCAGCCAUUCAAAAUGAUGGCUGUGGGAUAUUAAUAGUUGUUUUCAAUGUAUUCAUUGUUCAUUCACCAUUCAUUCACGAGAGCUCAUUAUGAACCAGCAUAUCUCUAAGCCCUGGGGUGCAGAAUUAAAUUCUCUUAGGUCGUUUGCAGACUAUCGAGAAGAUAAUCCAAAGAUACAGAAACAGCCAGGGCUAGUGUGGGCCAUGCAUGAGCGUAGUGUGCACUUGGGAGGUAGAGGUGGGAGAAUCGUGAGUUCAAGGUCAUGCUUAGGUAUAUAGUGAGUUUGAGGCCAACCUGGACUACAUGAGACCCUGUUCAAAAAGGAGGAACAACAUCACUUCAAGCUCUGUGGAGGGAAACAGCUGAGUAAGGAGAGGCCUAAUUUAGAAAACGCCAUCCCCAAAAAGCUUUGCUAUGAAACUGACAUUCUGUUUUGUUGUUGUUCCUGAAGAUGACAUUUGAAAGAUGUUGUAGAGUGUGAGUCCUGGGAAUAAAAGCUCACAGACCGAGGAAAAAGCAAGGUCAUGGACCCUACCACAGAAAUACACUUGGCAGGGCUGAGAACAAGGAGGCCCGUGUUGUUGGCUCACAGAGAGCGAAACAGAGAAACAAAGACAAGAGGGACAUUGGUCACGUGAAGCCUGUGGGCCCUAUUAAGGACCUUGAACUUCUGUAAGCGGUGAGCUUCCCCUUGGAGGAGUGAGAGCAGGAAGUGGAACUAUAUGCUUUACAGUUUCCAAGGGAUGCUGAGCCAGUCUAAGGGCAUCGACACAGGGGCUUUAACACAGACGCCUCAGAGAAUCCUGCAGGGCAGACAUGAGCGCCAAAGAGGGCACUGACCCAGGGUGGGGUAGGUGCAUGUGAGAGCUGAGGAUGGCACUGGCCCAGUGUGGGGUGGCAGCGGUGGCACAGAGUGUUGAUCCAGAACAAUAGACUUUGUCGACAGAACCCACGCAGGAUUUGUUGAUGGAUGGCAGAUAGGCUAGGGGGGAGUCAAUAUGUUUGCAAUGUAAACAGAAACAGCGAAAAAGAAAAACGUUCUGUUUGCAGUGUGGACGAAACUGUUUAAAACUCAGCAAGUAAGAGUGUUUAGUGUGUGAGCCUGACUCCCUCAGCUGGAUCUGUGGAACCCACAACAGAAGGGGAGAAUUGACACCUGAAAGUUGUCUGUCACAUGUGUGCGCGCACACACAGACUCACUAGUGCUUGGGAGAUCAGAGAGUCAGAGGUUCAAGCUCAUCCUUGACCUCUCAGGUUUGAGGCCAGCUUGGGAUUCUGAGAUAUUUUAAAAAAAACAAAAAACAAAAAACAAAAAACUACCCCUCUCACCAGCACGUGGGAGAUAGGCAGGCAGAUCUCUGCGAGUUUGAGGCCAACCUGGUCUACAUACUGAGUUUCAGAACAGCCAGUGCUAUAUAUAGACACCCUGUCUCAACACACAGACAAACAAACACAAAAACAAACAAAAAAGCUAUCCUCCAAAAAAAAAAAAAAAGUUCUUAAAUUUUACUAACAAGGAAGUUAACUGUGGCAAAGUAUACAAAAAAAAUUGAGGUCAGAGGUCAGAGCUCAGAUCACAUUUAUAGACAGAUGUUUAGCAACAUUUUUUUUUUUUUAAAGAAGGAACUGGAGACAAGGGUCUGCCCUGGCUCAGUGGUUAAGAGUGCACUGCUCUUACAGAGGACCUUGAUUUUCAGCACCCACAGUGAGUGGCUCACAGUUGCCUGUAGCUUCAGCUUCCGGGGAUCCAACACCUUGUGGCCUCAGGCACUCAUAAGCACCUACCCACUCUCCAGACACAUCACACACACACACACACACACACACACACACACACACACACACACACACACACACACACACACACAGAGUUUAAAAACAACGUAUGUCUUUUUAAAAAUCCCAUGGUAGUUACACACAGUACAAGUAAGGAAACAAAGGGUCUGGAGGCCUGGAGGAGACUGGCAAGUUUCUACUGAGGCCGGAGCUGGAGUGGGUACUGAAGGAAGACAAUGGAGUUAGUUGAGAUAGUGUGUGGUGGGGAGCUGCCACACCCCAGGGGCUGGGUAGGGGGAAACCCUGGCUCUGCAGGGGAGAAUGUAGGCAGAAGUGUGACUGCAGCACUCCCCUCCAUACCCCCCAACCAGCAGCCCAGCGGAU